This 333-nucleotide ribosomal RNA is filed under the name uncultured bacterium. Its description in RNAcentral is "partial 16S ribosomal RNA". The record is from RNAcentral.
UAAGCGAAGGAUUUUUGCCUAAAGAAGCUCGCCUGAUAGUUGGUAGUAAUGGCACCAAGGCCGAUCAGUCUGGUAGGACGAUGACACACUAACUGAGACGGUCCAGUCCUAGGCAGCAGGGGAAUUUCGCAAUGGGAAAGCCUCGGAGCCGCGUGAGAAGACAGUACUGGGUUAAACCUCUUUUCGGAAAAAAGACGUGUAUGAAGAAUGCAUCGGCACUCCAGCAGCCCGGUAAGACAGGAUGCAUGUUAUCCGAAUUGCGUAAAGUCUGUAGGGUUUAAUAGUCAACUGAAAUCGCUUAACUCCAAAACAAGGUCGAAUAUUAGACAAGUA